UUAAUGGGGGAGAUAAACUGCAGUCGUGCGUCUCCAAGCUAUGGUGGAGACGCGGCAUACGGCUCAGUAACACGUGGCUAACCCACCCUUGAGACGGAGAAAACCCCGGGAAACUGGGGCUAAUCCCCGAUAAGAGAAGACACCUGGAAUGGGUCUCCUCUCAAAAGGCGCCCUGACCAUGCUUUUAGGCGCUGCUCAAGGACGGGGCCGCGGCCGAUCAGGUUGUUGGUGAGGCAACGGCUCACCAAGCCUAUAACCGGUACGGGCCGUGAGAGCGGGAGCCCGGAGAUGGGCACUGAGACAAGGGCCCAGGCCCUACGGGGCGCAGCAGUUGCGAAAACUCCGCAAUGCACGAAAGUGUGACGGGGCUACCCCGAGUGCCGUCCGCUGAGGGCGGCUUUUCCCCGGUGUAAGGAGCCGGGGGAAUAAGGAGAGGGCAAGUCUGGUGUCAGCCGCCGCGGUAAUACCAGCUCUCCGAGUGGUAGGGAAGAAUAUUGGGCUUAAAGCGUCCGUAGCCGGCCCGGCAAGUCUUCCGUUAAAUCCAACGAUUCAAUCGUUGGACUGCAGGAGAUACUGUUGGGCUAGGGGGCGGGAGAAGCCGACGGUAUUCUCGGGGUAGGGGUAAAAUCCUAUAAUCCCUGGAAGACCACCAGUGGCGAAGGCGGUCGGCUAGAACGCGCUCGACGGUGAGGGACGAAAGCUGGGGGAGCGAACCGGAUUAGAUACCCGGGUAGUCCCAGCUGUAAACGAUGCGGGCUAGGUGUUGGGGCGGCUACGGGCCGCUUCAGUGCCGCAGGGAAACCAUUAAGCCCGCCGCCUGGGGAGUACGGCCGCAAGGCUGAAACUUAAAGGAAUUGGCGGGGGAGCACAACCAGGCGUGAAGCCUGCGGUUUAAUUGGAUUCAACGCCGGG
RNAcentral lists this ribosomal RNA (912 nucleotides) under uncultured archaeon. RNAcentral's name for it is "bacterial SSU rRNA". It matches the Rfam family "Archaeal small subunit ribosomal RNA", at positions 30 to 922 of the family's 1478-position model. The record is from RNAcentral.